AGCAGCCGCGGUAAUUCCAGCUCCAAUAGCGUAUAUUAAAGUUGUUGCAGUUAAAAAGCUCGUAGUUGAAUUUCGGGAUCAAUAUAUCGGUCAUGCUUAGGUAUGUACUGGUAUUAUUGAUUUCUCCCUUCUGAAGAACCAUAAUGUCAUUAAUUUGAUGUCGUGGGGAAUCAGGACUGUUACUUUGAAAAAAUUAGAGUGUUUAAAGCAGGCAUACGCUUGAAUACAUUAGCAUGGAAUAAUGAAAUAGGACGUUUGAUUCUAUUUUGUUGGUUUCUAGGAUCGACGUAAUGAUUAAUAGGGAUAGUUGGGGGCAUUAGUAUUCAAUUGUCAGAGGUGAAAUUCUUGGAUUUAUUGAAGACUAACUACUGCGAAAGCAUUUGUCCAAGGAUGUUUUCAUUAAUCAAGAACGAAAGUUAGGGGAUCGAAGACGAUCAGAUACCGUCGUAGUCUUAACCAUAAACUAUAGCUAGACUAGGGAUCGGAUGAUGUUAAUUUUUAAUGACUU
RNAcentral lists this ribosomal RNA (508 nucleotides) under uncultured Glomus. RNAcentral's name for it is "SSU rRNA". It matches the Rfam family "Eukaryotic small subunit ribosomal RNA", at positions 569 to 1077 of the family's 1831-position model. The record is from RNAcentral. Lineage: Eukaryota; Fungi; Glomeromycota; Glomeromycetes; Glomerales; Glomeraceae.